GACGAACGCUGGCGGCGUGCCUAAUACAUGCAAGUAGAACGCACAGUUUAUACCGUAGCUUGCUACACCAUAGACUGUGAGUUGCGAACGGGUGAGUAACGCGUAGGUAACCUGCCUGGUAGCGGGGGAUAACUAUUGGAAACGAUAGCUAAUACCGCAUAAUAUUGAUUAUUGCAUGAUAAUUAAUUGAACGGUGCAAUUGCACCACUACCAGAUGGACCUGCGUUGUAUUAGCUAGUAGGUGAGGUAACGGCUCACCUAGGCGACGAUACAUAGCCGACCGUGGAAGGUGAUCGGCCACACUUGGACUGAGACACGGCCCAGACUCCUACGGGAGGCAGCAGUAGGGAAUCUUCGGCAAUGGACGAAAGGCUGACCGAGCAACGCCGCGUGAGUGAAGAAGGUUUUCGGAUCGUAAAGCUCUGUUGUAAGAGAAGAACGGGUGUGAGAGUGGAAAGUUCACACUGUGACGGUAUCUUACCAGAAAGAGACGGCUAACUACGUG
RNAcentral lists this ribosomal RNA (505 nucleotides) under uncultured bacterium. RNAcentral describes it as "partial 16S ribosomal RNA". It matches the Rfam family "Bacterial small subunit ribosomal RNA", at positions 28 to 507 of the family's 1533-position model. The record is from RNAcentral.